AAUCGGCUGGUUUGUAUCUUUUGGUUUCUUUGCACAAACAAGAAACGAUAACGCUUUAAAUACCCAAACACUACACCAGACACCUAAAGCAAAGCACAAAGUGCAGCAGUAAGUAAACACAUGAUUUUAAACGGUAUGGAUCGAUCCUGCGUAUGUAAUGAUUGAGCUGGGUUUUGUCUGAAGUUUAGAGCUGCUGUGUGCAUCAUGCCGUCCAGAACUGAAGCCUGGAAAAUGCCUCUACAAAUUAUAAUGUGGUUAUAAUGUAACCUAUAGCCUAUAAUCCUGCUUGUGGACAUUGCGUCAUCACAUGCUGUAGUAAAGGGCCCGCUUUGAUAACCCUGCUUAGGGGCCCGGUGUUGGCUCGUUACGCUGCUGAGGGAAACUGAGAAUUAGAGAAGAAUGAAAAAGAUCAGAUGGAGCGAGAUUGUAAGUGCCUUAAACGUUAGAAUCAACAUUUAGAAAUCUAUGCAAUACGUUACUGAAAGCCACUACAGUCGCUGAAGAACUGCAGAGAUUUGCUUAAUAUAAAAAGUUUAAAGAGAACAUUAGCUGCUAAGUUAUGCACAAACUGAGGUUAAAUUAAAAACUGUAACAAUUGAAAUGAAACUUUCUGAGAUUAUUUUCUUUUUCCAUUGAUUUUUUAAGCAAGCAUACAUUUGCAUACAUUACUGACAAACAAAUGUAAAGUUGGUGUUAACAUAUAAAGUGUGUUUUAGGAGAGUGUUUAUUGACUCUUCACAGAAGAGAUGAAGAUUGUUGUGUUUGCUCUUCUCCUCUCAGCUCAUUGUGAGCUGACAACAGCUCUGAAAAGACAACACUUUUAUUUUAGUAAUGCCACGACAUGGACAGAUGCUCAAAGUCACUGCAGAGCCUACUAUGUAGACCUGUCCAGUGUUGAUCGCCAGGAGGAAAUUACAGCGAUUAACUCUAUAAUCACGGAUAGUGGUUACGGUGGUUACAGCUGGGUUGGUCUGCGACUGAUCUCUGCAAACAAUUGGCAGUGGAGUGAUGGAGGCAAUAGCAGUUUUAUUAUCUGGGAAAAAUCAAACCCAAUUGCUACAAGCGAUUAUAUUUGCUGUUCAUUUAAAAACCGUGUUGUGUAUAACUAUGACUGUAGUUAUCCAAACAACCAUUACUUGUGUUACAAGUGGGACACUAAACUGAUUGUGGUUAAAGAGAAUAAGAGCUGGGAGGACGCGUUACAAUACUGCAGGACUCAUCACACUGAUCUGGCCAGUCUGCCAACAUAUUUACAUCUCAUCCAAGCCAAACAAACCAUUGGUAAUACAUCAACUGUAUGGACAGGUCUACGGUUCCUGGCAGGCUCAUGGUUCUGGUUAAGUGGUGAGAAUCUGGGACAUCUUAGUGCCCAACUGCCAGCCUGUCCUGCCAAUUACACUUACUGUGGAUCUCUAAACAUGACAACCCAGAGCUGGGAGAACAGAAACUGUAUGGAGGAACUUAACUUUGUGUGCUAUUAGAGAGGAAGGCUUUAAGAAGACCAGAAGAGAACUCAUGACAAAUGAAGUUAAAUCUAGGUACCCAAUGGUUCUAUUCUAAGUAAAAAUAGGGUCAAUUAGUGUCUGCAAUAAAUAUGAAUUUUCUGUAUAUUGUUAAUGAAUAGAAAAAAAUAUGCAAUUAUUCUGUUUAAUUUAGUUUAUUGUGCUUUUUUAACCCAAGCUUAGUUUGAUUUAUGCCUGUCUAUGUAAUUCAAGCAGUUAUGAUGCAUAAAAUUCAUUGAAGAUAUUGAAUGCUUUAACUGAGAAAUAAUACUAAGUGAUAUAUAUAUAUAUAUAUAUAACAAAUAGUAGUGUGUGUAUACUAACCGAUAUUAGAGAGGCUUGUUAUUAUUGAUUAGAAAACAGUUAUGUAUUAGAUUAAAAAUGCUUAAAGAUGUAAGAUUGUAGGACAGCAAGACACAGAAGUCAGCGACAUCUUAAAAGAACAAUGAAAUCAAAAAAGGAUCUAACUGCAGAUGAUGUUUAACCUGUGUCUCCUGAUGAUAGAAAUCCUUCUUGAAAUAUUGUUUUUAACUUUGCUGUUAAGUUUUAUU
Non-coding RNA from Paramisgurnus dabryanus, 2053 nucleotides. The record is from RefSeq and is a predicted model, not a curated record. NCBI's taxonomy places the organism in Eukaryota, Metazoa, Chordata, Actinopteri, Cypriniformes, Cobitidae.